UUCCCGGAGACAGUAAGCAGCGGGGGGAGGGCUUUCGUGUGCUCGUUCGCGGGUGUAGGGCCUUUCCGCCCUCGCGUUUCCUUCUGGCUUUUUCGUAUCCACUCGUUUCCGAGCUCCUUUCUAGCCCGCUUGCCUAACCUGGGAGUACGAGCAGUGUAACGCCUUGAGGAUUCUCCCUUGUUCCUCCUCCAAGUCCAGGAAUCCAUGUAUGAAGCGUAUUACUUAAUUUCAGUUACAAUGUUAAUUACAGAAGACAAGCGGUUACUGAAUCUUGCACCAUAAUUAAUCAACCUGAUAUUUACUUACUACAUUGUUCGUACCGGAUUAAGAUGUAGCUAGACAAGCAGGGCAAGGAAAGUGAGUGACAGAAGCAUUAUCAUGGCACACUGCCUCCCAUUGGGAAAGUUCAUCUUCCUUCUGAAAGAGACGCCUUCAGGGAUCAUGUAAUUUGAAUUCCCUGUGAAUUUGGUGUCAUCUUAGCUUGACCAGCUCUGGGAGAACAUAUUAACCUCCCCUUGUGAUUUUCAGAAAACCAUUCUAAUUUAGCAAGUAAUUAAGGGUCACAUGUAGGAUAAGGAGCUGGAUAAGCUUGGAUUACGCACAGGAAGCUUUGUCUCCACGGCAACCCCAGCAGAGAGCUGCUGGCGCCGGGGUCAGGCCGUCACUGAAGCCCGCACUGCGUUUCCACCUGGUGAGCCAGUGCUGGAAACAGACGCCUGCAAAGCUGGUCAUCGCCAAAAACUGCAGGACAAAGGCUGCAGCCAGUGGGAGCGUUCUGCCGAGCGAGGUCGAGAGAAGUCCACGACAGUGACGCUUAACAGACCCCGCGUCUUUGUAGGCUAAAAUUUCUUCAGCCAUCAUCCACGGCUUCCGCUCAGCGUGAAGCGGCCGGUGUCUGUGCAAGCUGCCACCGCUACCGCUUAGCCUCUGAGCCCGACGUCAGCCCCUGGCUGGCUGCGGGCCAUGCCCAUGGGCAGCAGGUCAUGGGGCACCCCAGCUCAGGGCACGACUCCCCAUCCCAGGGCUGCAGGCUCUCGGAGACAAUCUCCUAAGUCUGUCGGGGCAGGCACGGUGGGUUAACUCCACAGGCAUGGCUAAAACAUCCAAGCAGCUCGUUCGGACAUGUACCUUUUAUUUUUAGCCUUGAAACCAGGAAAACGACGUUUUUCUUUCUCACUCUGGAGGAACUCUCAGACUUCUAUCCAAUUUAAAAUCAACUCCCCUGACUUCAGAAAUUCCUUGUUCUCACCAGCUUUUAUUUCUAUGAAAAUAUACAGGCUUUCCAGUGGAAGAGGCUUUUCGACAAGCAAAUAAGUUAACAUUUUCUGUUAACCUGCUUAAUGUAAGAAACAUUAGGGAAUUAUUGUGCUAUAAAGCAGCAUUACUGAAAUAUUAUAGGGUCCAAAGAGUGGGAAUGACCUAUUGGAUAUGAAAUGCUUUCUCAAUUCAUUUGUACCUUAGCUAUCUUGUAUGAUCUGUGAGGGAAGGAACCACGCAAGUUUUUUUCAAAGCUCUCUUCACAACAAAUGAGCAUGCUCUACUUUUUGCUAAAAUCAGAUGACAUUGUCAUACUAUCCAUUUCAACAGCUGGGCCAUUCUUGGAUCUGGAAUGCAGGUACAUCUAGCUUUAUACCUUGCUAUUUGGAAAUGUGUCUCCAUUGUGGAUAUAUAAAUGAGGACAAUAUUUAUUUCACCUUCUCUCUGCUAUUUUCACAUGCAGCCUUUGUUUUGCAGUAGACCAUCGCUGCUGGCACUGCGGGAAUUUAGACACUCCACUCUCUCGAACAUACACAUUAGAACUUGCCAUAAAAAGAAGACUGGGAUGAAGGUGAGCUGAGAACCUGUCAUGUUUGUGGCAGCCACUGGCCCCAGCGAGUCUCCAGUGAGCAUUACGUAUACUGCUGCUCACAGAAAACUGACCAAAGGAGAGCACUGCAAGGGGGAGAGAUGUGAAAAACACAGCUAUCACUAAAGGCACACGUCUUACAUCAGUAAAGAUUAGAUGAAGGGGAGCACACCACAGCCCAUCAAACAUAAAAAUGGUUCUUAAAAAACAACAACAACAACAACACACAAAACAAAGCAGAAAGGAAUUUACCUUCUGUGUCGACAAGUAAGUGUUAAAAAGAAUAGUGGCUUUAAAUGAGUAUUGGUUUUAAACAGGAAAUUUUGUAUUUGUUACAACUGCAGAGUACCUGGAGAGAGUGCUGACAAGGCAUAGCAUCUCUGCACAAGCUUUACUGGGAAAAGUGUCUGUGCUGCAGUGUCUGCUUGGCACUAGGCAGGACAGAUCAUCUCUGAGAAUUCCUUCCUUUCUAUCUGCUUCCUGUGAUAAUCCUUGCUCUGCUGGUAUUUCAUAGUUCCAGGCUAAAAAAAAAGUCACAAUAGUAUCUAAUUCCUCAAGUGGUAUUACCAGGACAGUUAAAGGACUUGAGCAGUGUUAGUAAUAAUUUGUUUGCACGUAAAAAUGCUGUACAGACUGAGAUAGGGACAGAGAACAUUCUUUCUCUGGUUAUUUUACUAUUUUAUUUAUCAUGCUACAUCUUUGGUUCCCCUGGCCUGGACUAACGUCAGAGUUUCUAAAAUAAAGUAUCCUUGUUCAAACAUUAUUAUGAUGCCAUUUUGUUGCAGAAAAUCUUCUGUGGCUCUUCUCUUGGCUGCAAGUUGUCUUCCACACCUUGUUGUGGUGCAUGGUAUGCUGUUGCAGGUGACUUCUGAGUGAGCUCAGGCAAAGCUUCAGCUGUGCCAAAAAUUGCUUGGAAGUUCACUGGUAUGAAUUUACCUUGAUAUGGAACAAAUAAAAAUAUCCUGCCUGACUUAACAAAGUUCAGGCUGCAGAGUAAUUUUUGUACCUAUCUUCGUAUUAGUCAUAUCAGUGUAUUUAGGCAGGAUCAGAAUCCCAACGCCACUGAGAUACAAGGAAAACUUUUAGCUUAACCUGACUCCUGGCAGGUCUCAGUUUAGAUUCUGAUCUAGCAGCUGUACCAGCCAAAAUUUUACCAAGGGUAACAAGUGAGCCCUAGGAUCAAGUCAGAUAUUCCACAGCUUAAGUAGUGGGAAAUACACAAACAAGGUUAUGGUGAGGCUUUGUAGCUUCCACAUGGCUCAGAUACUCUUCAGCAAGCUGUCGACUUCUACAAGUGUUCAAUUCCAGCCCUUUUCUUUUUAGCAUUUUGUUAAGGAAAUACUGUUAAUGCUGGUAUUCCAUAGUAAAGGAAGCAAAUGCUUUUCACUGUGCAGAAGGCUUGGUGUUCGUAUUUGCUCUAGUUCCAACAAUUAAUAGCAGGCUAGUUAGCAAAAUCAUGAGUAUGAGGUAAAGGCAAGGCACAUCCUUCUCAGCUGCCAGUUUAGGGAUGCCAUCACAGAUUAAAAAAAAUGACAGGAGACACCAUUUUUUAAUUAUUAUUCCCAGAUCAAAACUAAACCUUAGAAACAAUGCUGAGUCAUAAAUUAAUAAAGGGCAUCGGUCUUUCUGUGACCUACUUAGUAGAUGAGGCUAGAUUUCAAAAAGAUGCAUAAAUUGGUUGGCUAAUUCCACAGACACAUGAACUAAUGAAUCACUAAGAGCCUAACAUGCUUUAAAAGUCAAACAACUUAUCCUAAAUGUGGCCUAAAGCUGCAGAAAAGCCAUGGUAGUAAUUAAUAUUUUGAUAGUUUUAGCUUUCAUAAACAUCCACUGGAAAUUGAUGGGGGUAUCUCACCAUGCAAGGAUCCUUUUUGGACCCCAGGAGGCAAGUGGAGUGGCACAGAAGCUCAUCCUCUUUCUCAGUCUUAGCUUCUUUUGUGCUUUACUCAGUUCUAGGGCUGCAGACUGACAUCAUUCAGUCAGCUCUUCCCUGAUCUUGUUGAGUAUUUUAAAUACUGAACAUCCUCACUGCAGUGAGAGCCCCCUUCUAACAUGCUCUCCUGCAGCUCUGAAUGGCUAGGUUUGAGUUACAUUUUAUUAAAACUAGCAAUUGUCCUGUUCAUGUUUAUCUCAAGCAGGAGUGAGCUGAGCUGAUUUAAAAACAUCUGAAUCUCUUUGAGCAUUAGAAGUUGACAAAUUUAGAAUCUUUUAAAGCAAAUGACCUGGAAGUGAACCAUGAAAAACAUGGAAGUACCCCCAGCUUUGAACUUUGGCUUCUUGAGCACAGCCUCUGAACAAGCUGCUCAUGUGAUCCUCGGCGCAGCACAACACAACUAGCACCACACAGUUUUCUCGUUGCUACUCUCUUCUACUUGAUGAGUCCUUUUCACUUGCCAGGCGUCUACCCCAUACUUGGAGUCUCACCUCUGCUACACUUGUUCUCUCGUUUGCUUUACCUCACCUCCCUUCCUUUCCCUGUUUGCUUUCUCCAGGAUACUUAUCUGCCUCCUGACAAAAGGCCUUCCCUCAGCAGUUGGACACAUUUCUAGAUACUUCAUUGUUUCUCUAAUGCAACAAAACUGUCAGUCCUAGUGGGGAGGACAAAAUAAGGAAUGAUCAAUCCCUAAAGCAUCAUUUGAUGGCUGAAGGACCGUCCAGAUUAUUUUCACUGCAAACAUGCACUUUCCCCCUUUAGUUUCUAGAUGCAAGCAGGAAGGAGGAGUUCUUGGUAAUUUUGGUACCCAAAGGAUAACUAGUCAGGUAGAAGUCCCGUUCAAUUUAAUUUUAUCAAGAAUUUUACUGCUUGAAGUAGAAGCAAUGUGCAGAAUUCAAGGGAAAACAUCCAUUUAUGCACUGAGACACACUCACAGCAUCCUGGUCACUCAACUGACUGGCUUCCAGGGACCUUGGAUGUCGGGGCUCCUGACCGCAGCAAGCGUGCAGCAGUGCAGGCUGGGCUGCCCCAGCCACCCCUCAGCAGCGCUGGGUCACCACACGGGUCCCUGCAGAAGGGUUCCAGAGUGCACAUCCGGCUCUCCUCGGACAUGUGUGCCCCAGCCCUGCCCCACUGUGCCCUCUUGGACUGUGGCUGUAUUCUCUGGUUGCUUUAAAACCCCAUCCCUUCCAUUUGCAGCAGUUCCCACUGAGCUUGGCUGCAUCUCCCUCAUCUUUCUUCAGCUGCACUGGAAGCUGCAAAGCUUGUUUCAGCCUACCUGGCAACUGUGUUUAGUAUCCAGUGUUACCUAAAGGAUGGAGAUACUUCUUAGUACAUUCAGUAUUAGAGAAUGAGGUCUUGCAUUUCCCAACAUUACACUUCUAUUCUUUUUACCAGAAUAAUUUUAUUGAAGAUAACCAGUGUUGUUUCACAGGAGCCACUUCUCACCUUUCUCUGAAACAAUGAUCACUUUUUUCUACAAUGCUGAGCUUGUGACUAGCACUGCAUGCGGUAUCCUGGAGAAUCCAGUUCCUGAGUUGAAGUCUGUUCCUCAUUACUGGUAUGCUCGUUAAUUUCCUGUCACCAUAACCAAAUGACUAGGCUCUAGCAGCAGCACCUUGCCUGAUGCUGUGCUUUAACUCCUGGAAAGGCAGUAGCAUGUAAUGGGAGCACUUUAUCAGCUUGUGAGAUACUUCCCCAGUGAGCAUAGCACAGAAAUGCAAAUAGAAAAUGAAGCUUGAAAAAUCAGGUGCCUUUUGCUUUGCAUACUUCACCGACAACACUGCCGCUUUUGCUCUUUUAGGCAACCUACAUUCCCAUGCCUUCCUUUAGUCAGUCAGUCCAGCUCACCAUAUGACCAUUACCAUCAGUCCUGUAGCUUUUUCAGCUGCUCACUGUACCUGUGGUGUCUCAGGACAUAGCACAGGGCAUGUGGGCCUGACUCCCUAGCAGCCUCUGUCCUGGGCAACCUAUACAGAAGAGGGGUUGGAAAGGACAGGAGUAAAAACCCGCCCACCUUUCUCUAGGGUUCUUUCCAGACUUGCUGCAUUUUUAGAGUCUCCUGUGAUACCUUUCAGGUACUUUCUUUGGAAACUGCAGUCCCUCAGUGUCACUCCUUGGGCCUUCUCCCUUCAGGUGAACUUCAUAAACAGGCUUUACUUCCUUUGGAGAGACGUUUUCAGACUUUAUUGUACAGAGCAGCAGGAAGAAGGAUGAGGAAAGGCAGGGAAGUUUCACUCACCUGCCUCUCCUGUGUUACAUGCUUUCCCUGGGGACAUUACCAACGGCAGCAGUGGCAGGCAAGUGGCUUUUCCAUGUGAGGUGCUGUGCCACCGUACCGGGGAUACAGAGGGACAGCUGACAAAUCCCUUCUCAGGUCAGAGAUGACAGAUUUGUUGUCCACUGGUGGUAGGAGCCACUGGCUCAGGUUCACCUGUGAGCUGGCCUGAAGGUACACCGAUGAACCGUUAACAGCAGAAACAGAAGGUGCAACGCUAAUUACAGGUGUGAUACUGCCUUUGCCGUGUGACAUCUGCUCCAUGCACUUUGCAACCACUAAACUGUUUACCACUUCUGCAGGAAAAGAUAAGGCUUCCAGACCCAAACCUACCAAGAAGGGGAGGUGGUUUAAGGCACCUUCAUCUCCUUCAUUAGGUGUAGUAGUGCUGCAUGUGCCCCCAAGCUGCAGCUGAUGACACAACAGCCAGAGCAGUAACGCCACCAUCCAGCAGGGCUGGGAACACUGGGAGCUGGGUAGAGACCCCAGCUCUUUUGCCUCUUUGUUCCUUAGGACCAGGAUCACCUUCAUAAACUGAAGGUCAUUCCUAUUUAAUUGGGUGCACGCGCUCAUUAGGAAGGGAGGGGGCCUGGGAAGCACCUUGCUAACAGCAAGCCAGCCAAAAGGUAAACUGGAGGAGAAAAUGGAAAGAGGGUAAAAUAUGUUUAAGGAUUACAUCUUGGCAUGCACAGCAUAUGAUUUUACAACCCAUGUCAUACUGGUUUGGGGUAAAGCAGAAACUGUUAAUCCCAUGGAAAAUGCAGGAAACCCAAGGGACUACCUCCUGCAAGCAUUCCGUGAGAACACAGCAGGUAGCAAGGGUGAGAGCGUAGAUCUCUGCAGGCACAAUCAUACCUGCUGUGGAAAACACAUGAAGAUUUUUAAGUGCAUAAAUUAGGGGCAGGGGGAAGAAAAUAUAUUUGCUCAAUUAGCUUUAAAGUGAACCAAGUUUAUUAUUAUUAUUAUUAUUAUAUAUAUAUAUAUUUUUUUAGUUCUGCAUCUUUUGGGGCUUUUGAGAGCAAAGAACUCCGCUGAGCUGAUGGUGGUGGAUGGCUCUAGGAACACGUUUAGAGGAAUUAAUUGUAACUUUAUCCACUAGAAAGUUUCUUUCUACCAUCCAGCAAGAAAUCCCUCGUUUUCAUGACAACCAAAAGAAAAGCAAGUGCCCAUGCAUAAGAUUGAACAGAAUCCUGUUUAGAAUGUGAAUAGGGGGACAAAUUACCAGGCAUAAACACCUCCCCAUGUAACUGGCUGUUUGCAAACUAAUUGGUUUUUCCAACUGCUGA
This is a long non-coding RNA of Oxyura jamaicensis (ruddy duck), 7343 nucleotides long. RefSeq lists it as uncharacterized. The record is from RefSeq and is a predicted model, not a curated record. NCBI's taxonomy places the organism in Eukaryota, Metazoa, Chordata, Aves, Anseriformes, Anatidae. The transcript is spliced from 2 exons.